RNAcentral lists this ribosomal RNA (229 nucleotides) under uncultured bacterium. RNAcentral's name for it is "partial 16S ribosomal RNA". It matches the Rfam family "Bacterial small subunit ribosomal RNA", at positions 568 to 796 of the family's 1533-position model. The record is from RNAcentral.
UGCGUAGGCGGAUUAAUAAGUCAGUGGUGAAAUCUUUCGGCUCAACCGAGAAACUGCCAUUGAUACUGUUAAUCUUGAGUUCGGUUGAGGUAGGCGGAAUGUAUAAUGUAGCGGUGAAAUGCUUAGAUAUUACACAAAACACCAAUUGCGUAGGCAGCUUACUAGACCGACACUGACGCUGAGGCACGAAAGCGUGGGGAGCGAACAGGAUUAGAUACCCUGGUAGUCC